GUGUUGAUUGCGGUGAGGGUCCACCCGUUCCCAUCCCGAACACGGAAGUUAAGCUCACCUGCGCCGAAAAUACUUGUCUGGAGACGGACCGGGAAGAUAGGUAACGCCGACA
RNAcentral lists this ribosomal RNA (112 nucleotides) under Flavonifractor plautii. The record is from RNAcentral. Lineage: Bacteria; Bacillati; Bacillota; Clostridia; Eubacteriales; Oscillospiraceae.